CUUGACAUCACAAAAGCUUAGAUAUACAGAUCCAAAAGGAUUUACAGGCCGUGCUCCUGAAAGCUGACAGUUCGUUAACGUGAAGAGCUUUCUGUGGAAUUAUCAUGUAAUUUUAAACCUGAGUGUCAUGUAGACAGCACGCAGUGACUGCCUCCUGUCAGCUGGAACUGAGUGGCAUCCUGGUAUCCCUUGACAACUAGUACAUGCUGACACAGUGCGCUGCAGAGAUGUGACGUCACAUCUGGCACGCCACCAGCAACGGCGAGGACGGAGUCCUGAAGGGUGGAGGGUUUAAAACACGCAGUGACUGCCUUCUGUCAGCUGGAACCGAGUGGCGUCCUGGUAUCCCUUGACAACUAGUACACGCUGGUCAUACACAGUGCGCUGUAGAGAUGUGACGUCACAUCCGGCACGCCACCGGCAAAGAAGAGGACGGAGUCCUGAAGGGUAGAGGGUUUAAAAAUAAAUUAUGCACCAUUUGUUUGUAUUAAGCUGUCUGAGGAUGGGGGGAACUCCAAAACGUUACAGAGGAAAUAAAGAUUUUGUAUUUUAAGACCCA
Long non-coding RNA from Bombina bombina (fire-bellied toad), 559 nucleotides. RefSeq lists it as uncharacterized. The record is from RefSeq and is a predicted model, not a curated record. NCBI's taxonomy places the organism in Eukaryota, Metazoa, Chordata, Amphibia, Anura, Bombinatoridae. The transcript is spliced from 3 exons.